ACAGCAGUAGCCGCGGUAAGACAGAGGAUGCAAGCGUUAUCCGGAAUGAUUGGGCGUAAAGGGCGCGUAGGCGGCCAUUCAAGUUAGAUGUGAAAGCCCUGGGCUCAACCUAGGAAUUGCAUUUGAUACUGUUUGGCUUGAGUUCGGGAGAGGUGAGUGGAAUUCCCAGUGUAGAGGUGAAAUUCGUAGAUAUCGGAAGGAACACCUGUGGCGAAAGCGGCUCACUGGACCAUUACUGACGCUGAGGCGCGAAAGCUAGGGGAGCAAACAGGAUUAGAUACCCGAGUAGUCCCUGUCUCUUAUAA
RNAcentral lists this ribosomal RNA (305 nucleotides) under uncultured bacterium. RNAcentral describes it as "partial 16S ribosomal RNA". It matches the Rfam family "Bacterial small subunit ribosomal RNA", at positions 508 to 809 of the family's 1533-position model. The record is from RNAcentral.